GCCCCUUCAAGAGCUAAGCCAUGAUGAGUGCCGGAGAUAAGCGCCGGAUGGGGC
Molecule: small RNA, 54 nt
Filed under: Klebsiella michiganensis
Lineage: Bacteria; Pseudomonadati; Pseudomonadota; Gammaproteobacteria; Enterobacterales; Enterobacteriaceae
Description: rydB RNA
Rfam family: rydB RNA
About the family: This family consists of several bacterial sequences from E. coli, Shigella flexneri and Salmonella species. This RNA gene was discovered by an RNA screen between the ydiC and ydiH in E. coli. This gene is only 67 bases in length and is composed of a hairpin like structure.
Source: RNAcentral